Molecule: microRNA, 23 nt
Filed under: Panagrellus redivivus
Lineage: Eukaryota; Metazoa; Nematoda; Chromadorea; Rhabditida; Panagrolaimidae
Description: prd-miR-7914-5p
Source: miRBase by way of RNAcentral
AGAUCUCUUUCCCCUUUUACGGC